This 360-nucleotide long non-coding RNA is filed under the name Physcomitrium patens. RNAcentral describes it as "long non-coding RNA (PPAT_LNC002262)". Lineage: Eukaryota; Viridiplantae; Streptophyta; Bryopsida; Funariales; Funariaceae. The record is from RNAcentral.
AAUAGCAUAGAAAACUCCAAAUCAAUCUUAAAACUUGCUACUCAAAAAUUUCAACAACCUCAUCUUAUAAAUUUACAUGGAUCUUCUUCACAACUCUACUUCUUGCGUACUAUGGCUUAUUAGAAAGCUCACAAUCAAAUCUAGCUUUUCUUCAAAUAUCAAUACAAAAAAAUAAAAAUGUAAGAAGUGGUGUAGAAAAAUCCAAACCAAUAUUGAAUUUUCCCUCUCAAAAAUUCUAGCAACUCUUUUUCUACAAAUUUGCUUGAAUCUCCCUCUUCACAUCUCCAUUUUUACUUACUAUGGCUUGUUAAAAAGCUCAUAUAUAGAUUUAGCUUCUUUCUAAAUAUAAAAAUAAGAACU